This 759-nucleotide ribosomal RNA is filed under the name uncultured bacterium. Its description in RNAcentral is "bacterial SSU rRNA". It matches the Rfam family "Bacterial small subunit ribosomal RNA", at positions 8 to 796 of the family's 1533-position model. The record is from RNAcentral.
AGAGUUUGAUCCUGGCUCAGGACGAACGCUGGCGGCGCACCUAAGACAUGCAAGUCGAACGGGGGCUUCGGCCCCAGUGGCGGACGGGUGAGUAACACGUAGGGGACCUGCCCCGUGGCGGGGGAUAACACCGGGAAACCGGUGCUAAGACCGCAUACGUCCGAUGGCAUAGCGGCCAUCGGGGAAAUGCGCGAGCAGCCACGGGAGGGCCUUGCGGCGGAUUAGGUAGUUGGUGGGGUAGAGGCCUACCAAGCCGACGAUCCGUAGCUGGUCUGAGAGGACGACCAGCCACACCGGGACUGAGACACGGCCCGGACUCCUACGGGAGGCAGCAGUUAGGGAAUUUUCACAAUGGGCGCAAGCCUGAUGGAGUGACGCCGCGUGCGGGAUGAAGGCCCUCGGGUCGUAAACCGCUUUUUACGGGGACGAGAUGGACGGUACCCGUAGAAGAAGCCCCGGCUAACUACGUGCCAGCAGCCGCGGUAAUACGUAGGGGGCGAGCGUUGUCCGGAAUCACUGGGCGUAAAGCGCGCGUAGGCGGCUGUGCGCAUCCGGUGUGAAAGCCCCCGGCUCAACUGGGGGAGGACACUGGAGAUGGCGCAGCUAGAGGACCGUAGAGGCAAGGGGAAGUCCCGCAGUAGUGGUGAAAUGCGUAGAGAGCGGGAGGAACACCAGUGGCGAAGGCGCCUUGCUGGGCGGGCCCUGACGCUGAGGCGCGAAAGCUAGGGGAGCGAACGGAAUUAGAUACUCCGGUAGUCC